AACACGGGGAAACUCACCACCUCCCGACACAAGGAGGAUCGACAGAUUGAGUGCUUUUUGUUGAUUUGGUGGGUGGUGGAGCACGGCUGUUAUUAGUUGGAGGAGUGAUUUGUCCGAAUAAUUGCGAUAACGAACGCGACCUUAACCUGCUAACUAGCCCGUAUUGCUUUGGCAGUACGCUGGCUUCUUAGAGGGACUAUCGGCUCAAGCCGAUGGAAGUUUGAGGCAAUAACAGGUCUGUGAUGCCCUUAGAUGUUCUGGGCCGCACGCGCGCUACACUGACGGAGCCAGCGAGUACUCCCUUGGCCGAAAGGCCUGGGUAAUCUUGUUAAACUCCGUCGUGCUGGGGAUAGUCCAUUGCAAUUAUUGGACUUCAACGAGGAAUCCCUAGUAAGCGCAAGUCAUCAGCUUGCGUUGAUUACGUCCCUGCCCUUUGUACACACCGCCCGUCGCUACUACCGAUUGAAUGGCUCUAGUGAGGCGUCCGGACUGGCCCAGAG
RNAcentral lists this ribosomal RNA (500 nucleotides) under uncultured eukaryote. Its description in RNAcentral is "SSU rRNA". It matches the Rfam family "Eukaryotic small subunit ribosomal RNA", at positions 1202 to 1725 of the family's 1831-position model. The record is from RNAcentral.